This 440-nucleotide ribosomal RNA is filed under the name uncultured bacterium. RNAcentral describes it as "partial 16S ribosomal RNA". It matches the Rfam family "Bacterial small subunit ribosomal RNA", at positions 338 to 795 of the family's 1533-position model. The record is from RNAcentral.
CCUACGGGUGGCAGCAGUGGGGAAUAUUGCACAAUGGGGGAAACCCUGAUGCAGCAACGCCGCGUGAGUGAAGAAGUAUUUCGUUAUGUAAAGCUCUAUCAGCAGGGAAGAAGAUGACGGUACCUGAAUAAGAAGCCCCGGCUAACUACGUGCCAGCAGCCGCGGUAAUACGUAGGGGGCAAGCGUUAUCCGGAUUUACUGGGUGUAAAGGGAGCGCAGACGGCAGUGCAAGUCUGGAGUGAAAGCCCGGGGCCCAACCCCGGGACUGCUCUGGAAACUGUGCGGCUGGAGUACUGGAGGGGCAGGCGGAAUUCCUAGUGUAGCGGUGAAAUGCGUAGAUAUUAGGAGGAACACCAGUGGCGAAGGCGGCCUGCUGGACAGUAACUGACGUUGAGGCUCGAAAGCGUGGGGAGCAAACAGGAUUAGAUACCCGUGUAGUC